UAUUUCUCAUCUUCUUCUUGUCAUUUUCGUCCCUCA
RNAcentral lists this small RNA (36 nucleotides) under Arabidopsis thaliana (thale cress). RNAcentral's name for it is "ATSL306930". Lineage: Eukaryota; Viridiplantae; Streptophyta; Magnoliopsida; Brassicales; Brassicaceae. The record is from RNAcentral.